This 486-nucleotide long non-coding RNA is filed under the name Nicotiana benthamiana. Its description in RNAcentral is "long non-coding RNA (NBEN_LNC031891)". Lineage: Eukaryota; Viridiplantae; Streptophyta; Magnoliopsida; Solanales; Solanaceae. The record is from RNAcentral.
AGUUCAGUUUACACGCAUCUCCGCUAAUUUUAUGGAUUAUUAUUACCUCUCAUCAGCAACAGGUACUAAGCUUACUCAAUCUACCAAUACUUGGACAAGUUGAAAGAUAUCGUCUAGUGUGUAUGCGGGAAAAAUCGGAGCAAGUAAACACCCCGAUUUUCCGGUUGGCUCAACAUAACUACAUGAAAUCAGGAUCGAAGCUAAGAACCUCUCGUACUGAGACCAGAACGAAGCGCUUACCACCGGGGUCAUUGAGACACAUACCCUCUCGCCUCACGAAUUCGGUGCGGGCUCAAAGACCGAAGGCUUAACCAAACGGUUGCACAUGACUAAUGAAGGAUCGUGAUAUCCGCGCUCAACCAGAUAUCACGGCGUGGAUCUUGGCCCACAUCAAUAGGGGAUCAGUGAUUAACGAUUUUUUUAACCUUUUUUAGAAUUGUACUUAGGAUAAACUCUUCUACUAUAUAAAUGGGAAGUUAUUGUUCA